AAAUGAAUAGACGGGGACCCGCACAAGCGGUGGAGCGUGUGGUUUAAUUCGACGGUAAACGAAAAACCUUACCAAGGCUUGAACUGUAGCUGCUAACUCUAUGAAAGUAGAGCUCUUUCGAAGGUGCUACAGAGGUGCUGCAUGGCUGUCGCAAGCUCGUGUCGUGAGAUGUUGGGUUAAGUCCCGCAACGAGCGCAACCCUUAUCAGAUGUUACAUAUCUUCUGAGACCGCCCUGCCAAAACGGGGAGGAAGGUGGGGACGACGUCUAGUCAUCAUAGCCCUUAUGUCUUGGGCUACACACGCGCUACAAUGGGGGAAUCAAUGGGUAGCCAAACCGCGAGGUGGAGCUAAUCCUCAAAAACCCUCUCAGUUCGGAUUGUAGGCUGAAACUCGCCUGCAUGAAGUUGGAAUCGCUAGUAAUCGCAGAUCAUAAUGCUGCGGUGAAUACGUUCUCGGGUCUUGUACACACCGCCCGU
Molecule: ribosomal RNA, 477 nt
Filed under: uncultured bacterium
Lineage: Bacteria
Description: bacterial SSU rRNA
Rfam family: Bacterial small subunit ribosomal RNA
Source: RNAcentral